Molecule: long non-coding RNA, 2874 nt
Organism: Hemicordylus capensis (graceful crag lizard)
Lineage: Eukaryota; Metazoa; Chordata; Lepidosauria; Squamata; Cordylidae
Exons: 3
Source: RefSeq, a predicted model, not a curated record
UUUUACCAUAGGCUUAGGAAUCUUUUCAAAGCAUUUUAACAAUCAUAUAUGAAUGGUGCCAUAUAAAAUAUCAUGAACAUUUUAUUUGCAUGAUCAUCAUGUCUUUUAGGUUGAUCUGUAUUACCAGAUGCACUUUUUCCCCCUUUUUUAAACUUUAACGUCUUGGUCUGGAGUCCAAAAUGUAUCCUUCCCAUAUAAAUCAGCUCACAUUGAUUCAUUAAUGUGUUUUGCAUGUAUCUGCCUAACAUGACCAUAUACCAUGUCUUUCAGAAGGAUCCCACGCUCAUGGGAGUGAGCAGGAUGGUCCAACCUUAAUGAAAGAGGCAGCUGUUCACUAUUUAUUUUUAUCCUCCUUGUUAGAUGUAUGGCCACGUACCCCAUACAUUACAUACCAUCCAUCCUCUGUAGUUAAUCAAGCAGGGCUCUUCAGUGACUAUAAUUCAUUCAUUCUGACUGCACAGUGCCGCUUCUUUCAUCAGACAUAUGUGAUCUUGUAACAGAUACUGUACUGGGCAGUAAUGUUAACUUUGUUGUUUCUCAAUUUUACUUUCAGCCUUCAGUUUGACCAACAUAAUGUUUGCAUGAAAUGCAAUAAUUAUUUGUGCCAGCACAGUAGACCACUAGAUAUUACAGUAUACGUGCUAUAAUUGGGCACACUAUAAACCACAUAAUUCUGUGCAGCUCUUUGACAUGCAUCAGUCCAGCUGUGUCCAGACUGGCAGUUUAUUGUGCAAUCGUAUCUGGAAAGUUGUACAAAGAGGUGGCAAAAUUCACACCACAUCUCACAAUCUGUCACUGUUUGUGCACACACUUCUGUGUUGUUUUUUGCAUCACAUUCCAAAGAGGAAGAGGCGGAAUCAGCAGAAAGGUAUAGAGAGAGGAGUAAUUUCUUUAGUUAAGGAUCCCCUUUCUUCACUCCAGUGGAGACAAACCACCCUGGACAGAAAUUACAGCUCAUUUCUAAGAGUCUGCAGAGAUGCAGAAGGACGUUGGGUCUGGCCAAAUCUCAAAUCAACUUUUCAAAACUAAGAAAAAAGGAAGAGGAAAAAAGUCCUUUUGUGUUGUCAUUGCUUUAGUCUGAUGAACCUCCAAGGAGCUGGAACUUUGCCCUCCAGUCACACGGGGAAGUAUGCCAAGAGAAAAAUGCUAAAGAGACAAGGAGACUAUCUAGACUUAUUGGAGUGAUAUUUUGUUGAAUACUACGUUUGCCACUGAAGAAGACUCAGAGUUGAAACACGUCUGGCAACAGCAUAUCCAUGAACAGAUGCUGGCAAAAUUAUGAUAUGUUAUCUCUUGGCGAAAACAAGACAUUGGGAAGAUUGACUUGGACUUCUCUCAUCAUUGAUGAGCUCUUGGACAACUGGACUUUUUAAUUUGAUACAGAGACCAUCUAAAUGACUAUGUUGUGUGUGUAUAUAUAGAUAUAGUGAUAUUGAUUGAGUUUUAUUACUCCCUACAUAACUGGGUAGUGUUCCCCAAGGGUACAGUUUUAUCAUAAUUAUAUUAAAAUAUAUGUACAUAUCUGGAUUCUUUUUGGACACCUUGAUAUAUUGCUGAAUCCAUAUAGGGUUUUGUUUUCACGUGUGUGGAGUUGCAUUACAACAGCGGUUCGUAAACCCCAGAUGUUGUUGGUCUAACAAGGCCAUUGUGGCUAGGGUUGAUGGGAAUUUUAGUCCAACAAUAUCUGGGGACCCAAGUUUGCAAACUGCUGCAUCACAAUAUAAGAAAGAUCGUGAAUAAGUAAAAUAUAGGUUGUUGGUAUAUAAGCUGUUGAGGACUACUUUAAAAGUUAUGAGAAGUAUUUGUUCAGUCUUGUGCAAGCAUGUGAGUAAAUGGAGGAACUCCUCUGCAGCGCUUGAAUGAUGGAGGGAAAGGGAGGAGGUCUGUGGUAUUUCAUCCAGUAAUCUUUUGCAGUUUGUUUGGACAUUUGUCCCAAGAGGCAUCCUGUAGAGAGUGUUGGGAAAGCAUCAGAAAGGAAAGGGGAGGGGAAAGAGGAGGAGAAAAUGGAGUUGCUGCUGAAUGAACCUUUAGUUAAAUCUACCUAAGGUGUGUAUGAGGGAAGCAGCUAUAAAACAAGGUCUUUAAUAAAAGCUCUGCCCCCUGCCCACACACACACAUUUUAGUAGUCAGGCUCCCCUGUAGCAUUCUAAAAACAGUAGCGAAUGAAGCCCCCACAAUAGGUGAGGAAACCUGGCCCCCUUGCCUCUGCCCCGGUAAUUGUCUCUGGAUUUGGAAUAUUUUCUCAUGCAACACUCUUCUGCUUGGUCAAAAGCAGUCCUGGAAGGGGCUUUCUGGUUCCACAAGGCACCUUUGGACCCAAGCAAUUAUUUAUGCAUUUCAGACAAUCAGAAAGGCACAUGUAUAAUACUGUAUAUACACAUUCUGGAGUGCUUACUCAUAUGACUAUGCGCAGAACAGAUGUACGUUUUUAUUCUCACGUCCUGCAUGGUUACCUUUUUGCUGCAUAAUAGUGCAUGCCCCCACCACUGGGACCCUAAAAAGUUGUUAGUAUACGCCAUGUACAUAUUAUUAUGAAAAAUAAUGAUUCCCCCCCCCCACUCUGCUGCUUCUAAGGAUCAAGAAAUGCCAGGAUCAGGAAAUGCCAAUAUAAUUAUCCUCAUAUGCAGUCGUUGAAUGAAGUAGAUUUAUCAGCACAUCCUAAUGAGACAUAAAAUUCCAGCUGAAUGGCCAAAUUCAUGAAAAACACAAGAAUGAUGGGACAUUCACCCAAUUAUCUUUGAGGAUGAAACAAUUUAGGAUGCUGCUGGAUUUGGACAAAAAAGAUCUGACUUAAAAUUCCAUCCUAAGCCUGUUAUUCUGGGCAAGGCUCCUGACUUCUUUUCAUGGUCUGUAAAAUGGGAAUGCCAACCUAUG